CAUUCUUGAAAUGACUCGGUCGCUACUGGCACAGACCGUUUAAAGUGUCACCACGACAUGAACUUAGAAUUCUUAUGACGUUGCUGACGAGCGACAAAGCUCUGUGUUCCUGGAUGGGAGUAAGUUUGUGUGGUGGUUUAAUUUAGUAACAGCAUAGACUGUCUAUAGCAAGAUUGUCGAAGAGAUUCUAAACGUAUUUGUAAGUACGUGGUUCUUGCUAGAUAACCGUAUCGAAUUCGAGGCGGUUAUUUUUUUAUUCUCACACAACCAAAAUAACCACACCAC
RNAcentral lists this small nuclear RNA (285 nucleotides) under Staphylococcus aureus. RNAcentral's name for it is "SaV19". The stretch from base 142 to 260 matches the Rfam family "DUF3800-I RNA". Lineage: Bacteria; Bacillati; Bacillota; Bacilli; Caryophanales; Staphylococcaceae. The record is from RNAcentral.